AUACGGGGCUUAUGUCUUGUAAUUGGAAUGAUGGGAAUUUAAACCUCUUCCAGAGUAUCAAUUGGAGGGCAAGUCUGGUGCCAGCAGCCGCGGUAAUUCCAGCUCCAAUAGCGUAUAUUAAAAUUGUUGCAGUUAAAAAGCUCGUAGUUGAAUUUCUGCUGCAUUGCAUUUUCUCCUAUACGAGUUUUUGCAUUGUGGCUUAUUUCGGUUAUAAAAUUUAUUUUUAUUUCCGGAUGUUUACUUUGAGAAAAUUAGAGUGCUCAAAGCAGGCUUUUGCCUUGAAUAGUUUAGCAUGGAAUAAUAAAGUAGGACUUUGGUUCUAUUUUGUUGGUUUUAGGUACCAAAGUAAUGGUUAAUAGGAACAGUUGGGGGCAUUCGUAUUUAAA
This 386-nucleotide ribosomal RNA is filed under the name Theileria capreoli. Its description in RNAcentral is "SSU rRNA". It matches the Rfam family "Eukaryotic small subunit ribosomal RNA", at positions 483 to 902 of the family's 1831-position model. Lineage: Eukaryota; Apicomplexa; Aconoidasida; Piroplasmida; Theileriidae. The record is from RNAcentral.